Thamnophis elegans (Western terrestrial garter snake) is the source of this 108-nucleotide small nuclear RNA. The record is from RefSeq and is a predicted model, not a curated record. Lineage: Eukaryota; Metazoa; Chordata; Lepidosauria; Squamata; Natricidae.
UUAUACAGGAACAGAUACAUAUAAUCACAAAAUGGAAUGAUACAAAAAAGAUUUGUAUGGCCCCUGCACAAGGAUGCAAAUUUUUACAAUGUUUCAUACAAGUUACAA